GUUUGAAGAAAAGAAACAAGCCACACGGACCACCACCACGUAGCACCUCACAAAUCCCAACACCACUCGAC
Long non-coding RNA from Maniola jurtina (meadow brown), 71 nucleotides. RefSeq lists it as uncharacterized. The record is from RefSeq and is a predicted model, not a curated record. The transcript has 3 exons. NCBI's taxonomy places the organism in Eukaryota, Metazoa, Arthropoda, Insecta, Lepidoptera, Nymphalidae.